This 565-nucleotide ribosomal RNA is filed under the name uncultured Glomeromycotina. RNAcentral's name for it is "SSU rRNA". It matches the Rfam family "Eukaryotic small subunit ribosomal RNA", at positions 548 to 1114 of the family's 1831-position model. Lineage: Eukaryota; Fungi; Glomeromycota. The record is from RNAcentral.
UUGGAGGGCAAGUCUGGUGCCAGCAGCCGCGGUAAUUCCACCUCCAAUAGCGUAUAUUAAAGUUGUUGCAGUUAAAAAGCUCGUAGUUGAAUUUCGGGGUUAGUAGGUUGGUCAUGCCUCUGGUAUGUACUGGUCUCACUGAUUCCUCCUUCCUGAUGAGCCGUAAUGCCAUUAAUUUGGUGUUGCGGGGAAUUUGGACUGUUACUUUGAAAAAAUUAGAGUGUUUAAAGCAAGCUAACGCUUGAAUACAUUAGCAUGGAAUAAUGAAAUAGGACGUUCGAUCCUAUUUUGUUGGUUUCUAGGAUUGACGUAAUGAUUAAUAGGGAUAGUUGGGGGCAUUAGUAUUCAAUUGUCAGAGGUGAAAUUCUUGGAUUUAUUGAAGACUAACUACUGCGGAAGCAUUUGCCAAGGAUGUUUUCAUUAAUCAAGAACGAAAGUUAGGGGAUCGAAGACGAUCAGAUACCGUCGUAGUCUUAACCAUAAACUAUGCCGACUAGGGAUCGGAUGAUGUUAAUUUUUUAAUGACUCAUUCGGCGCCUUACGGGAAACCAAAGUGUUUGGGUUC